Molecule: RNA transcript, 1587 nt
Organism: Mandrillus leucophaeus (drill)
Lineage: Eukaryota; Metazoa; Chordata; Mammalia; Primates; Cercopithecidae
Gene name: phosphorylated adapter RNA export protein pseudogene
Exons: 1
Source: RefSeq, a predicted model, not a curated record
AUGGCGUUGGAGGUCGGCGACAUGGAAGAUGGGCACCUUUCACACUCGGAUUCCGACAUGACGGUAGCACCCAGCGACAGGCCGCUGCAAUUGGCGAAAGUGCUAGGUGGCCACAGUGCUAUGAGGGCCUUCCAGAACACAGCAACUCCAUGUAUCACAUUAUCGAGCUGUUGAAAGUGUGGAUUCAAGUGAAGAGAGUUUUUCUGAUUCAGAUGAUGAUAGCUGUCUUUGGAAACGCAAACGACAGAAAUGUUUUAACCCUCCUCCCAAACCAGAGCCUUUUCCGUUUGGCCAGAGCAGUCAGAAACCACCUGUUGCUGGAGGAAAGAAGAUUAACAACAUACGGGGUGCUGUGCUGCAGGAACAGAAUCAAGACGCAGUGGCCACUGAACUUGGUAUCUUGGGAAUGGAGGGCACUAUUGACAGAAGCAGACAAUCCGAGACCUGCGAUUAUUUGCUUGCUAAGAAACUUAGGAGGGAAUCUCAAAAACAUAUAAAAGGUCUAGACAAGGAACUAGAUGAAUAUAUGCACGGUGGCAAAAAAAAAUGGGAUCAAAGGAAGAGGAAAACGGGCAAAGUCAUCUCAAAAGGAAAUGACUUGUCAAAGACAGGCUGGGGAACAGACCAGAAAUGAACUAUAAAGGUCGAUAUGAGAUCACAGAGGAAGAUUCUCAAGAGAAAGUGGCUGAUGAAAUUUCAUUCAGGUUACAGGAACCAAAGAAAGACCUGAUAGCUCGAGUAGUGAGGAUUACUGGGAACAAAAAGGCAAUUGAACUUCUGAUGGAAAACUGCUGAAGAUGAACAAAAUGGUGGUCUCUUUAUAAUGAAUGGUAGUCGAAGAAGAACACCAGGGGGAGUUUUUCUGAAUCUCUUGAAAAACAUUCCUAGUAUCAGCGAGGAACAAAUUAAGGACAUUUUCUACAUUGAAAGCCAAAAGGAAUAUGAAAAUUAAAAAGCUGCUAGGAAAAGGAGAACACAAGUGUUGGGAAAAAAGAUCAAACAAGCUAUUAAAAGUCUAAAUUUUCAAGAAGAUGAUGACACAUCACAGGAAACUUUUGCAAGUGACACAAAUGAGGCCUUGGCCUCUCUUGAUGAGUCACAGGAAGGACAUGGAGAAGCCAAGUUGGAUUCAGAGGAAGCCAUUGAAGUUGAUCAUUCUCAAGAUUUGGACACUUUUUAAGUACAUUUUUGACAGUUUGAGGACUAAGCUUUUCUAAAAUAACAUUGUAAUAAACCAUUUUUACUGAGAUUGCACCGUUUUGCACUGGUAAACAUGAAUCUGGAGGAAAGAAAAUUGUUUUCUUGUUUAAAAUAGUGUAUGUGCAGAAAGGAAUGCAAUUGAUAGAACAUUUAAGGAUGUCUCAUGUCUGGCAAUACUUAAGAGUAUAUAGCACAGGAUUUAAUUUCUCAUUGUGUUGCAUGUGCUAAUUAUGAGUAUUACUAGUUGAUAAUCAGUUUUGUCUAGGUCAUAACAUACUAUUUGAAAGUUUGUUUGCUUUUUCAAGUUUAUCUUUGCAGUGAAUUAUGCCUUGGCUUUAAAACAUUCCAUUAAAAUCGUAAUGGGACAUAUAAAUUAUUAAGCUGUUA